CGGGUGAGUAACACGUGGGUUACCUGCCCCGAUGAUUGGGACAACCCGAGGAAACUCGGGCUAAUACCAAAUGUGCUCCUGGCCGUAAUGGCCUUGAGGAAAGGAAGCUUCGGCCUCCGCAUCGGGAUGGGCCCGCGGCCCAUUAGCUUGUUGGUGGGGUAAUGGCCUACCAAGGCGACGAUGGGUAGCUGGUCUGAGAGGACGAUCAGCCACACUGGGACUGAGACACGGCCCAG
RNAcentral lists this ribosomal RNA (236 nucleotides) under uncultured bacterium. RNAcentral's name for it is "partial 16S ribosomal RNA". It matches the Rfam family "Bacterial small subunit ribosomal RNA", at positions 103 to 334 of the family's 1533-position model. The record is from RNAcentral.